UUCAAUCACUACUGUAAGUCGCUCUGGAUAAGAGUGUCUGCUAAAUGACUAAAG
Molecule: non-coding RNA, 54 nt
Organism: Salmo salar (Atlantic salmon)
Lineage: Eukaryota; Metazoa; Chordata; Actinopteri; Salmoniformes; Salmonidae
Source: Rfam